AUGUCGUGGUGGAAGAAUGAAGCUAGCAGCAGCAGGCACAACCACAGACACAGGUUUCUCCUCACGAACAGUGCAUUUAACCGGGCAACCUAUGUUCCAAGGCCAACCUUCAAUGCACCUUGCCCGUCUCCACCAACAAUGCAGCACAGGAACUCCGAAGGGCAGUACAGCGAUAUGGAUUCCCAUCCUACUUUUGGUCCAUGCUUCAACUGUGGACAGUUUGACAACCACUCCAAGCAAACAACGUGUCUGGUUCGUGGUCGGGUAAUGUAUCCAGCUCUGGUAUUUGGAAGCUCCACUUUCGAUUUGUUUCUACGGAAUACGUGA
This 327-nucleotide ribosomal RNA is filed under the name Triticum aestivum (bread wheat). Its description in RNAcentral is "partial small subunit ribosomal RNA". The record is from RNAcentral. Lineage: Eukaryota; Viridiplantae; Streptophyta; Magnoliopsida; Poales; Poaceae.